CCUGGUGGCUCAGACGGUAAAGCACCUGCCUUCAAUGCAGGAGACGUGGGUUCGUAUCCCUGGGUCGGGA
Molecule: transfer RNA, 70 nt
Filed under: Ovis aries (sheep)
Lineage: Eukaryota; Metazoa; Chordata; Mammalia; Artiodactyla; Bovidae
Rfam family: tRNA
About the family: Transfer RNA (tRNA) molecules are approximately 80 nucleotides in length. Their secondary structure includes four short double-helical elements and three loops (D, anti-codon, and T loops).
Source: Rfam by way of RNAcentral